CCUAAAAAAAAAAGAAAAAGAACAUUUUAACUGCAAUAGCCUACUAAAAGACUAAGCAUAUAUUUUUUUGUUUACAGGUGUUACAGUAUUAGUUUACUUUUUAUAAAAAAAAGUCAUACAUUGGAAAUACUUUCAAUGUAUGAGUCUGUGCAAAGAUUAAAUCAGUAAUAUUGCUCCUGUUUUCACUAGGCUUAGUGGAAAUAAAGUUCCUGCUGCAGAGGCAGUGAUGUGUGUGUAAAUGAAGCAGCAGGAUAUUGGCUGACCCUGGCCUGAGAUAAGAAGUUUUGUCUGAAGGCCGGUUCACGAGUCAACAGCGAUCGGCCUGAUAAUGUUUGGUCUGGAGACGGACGGUGGAUUUUAUCUCCAAAGGAGUCUGAAGACCAGCAAUGUCGGCUUGGCCUGUACAUGGUGAACAUUUCAUAACACUGUUAAAACUGUUGGCUGCUGGGAGUUACUUUAGUUUACAUAAAGACAGAAAAAGUACUUAGUUAUCAUCUCAACACUUUAAAAUUUUGACGUCUUCUUGCACCUUCAUGAAUAAUUCAAACUCUUUUUUUUGCUUCCUUGCUGGAACUUCCGAGUCCUGUUCCUAACAUUCCAAUAGAUUUUUGGAUUUCAGUGUUUUGUCUGUUUCACCAUCAAGAAGGAAACCUAUGUGUGCAGAGAGCCUUUGAGUUUUGCCUGAUGACAUAUCCAAUCUGCGAGUGCCUUUCAGAAGCUGCUUGACUUACAUUCAAGUGACAAGAUGGACAGCUGUGUCCAGUGAGGCAGCAGAGCGUGGAUUCAUCUUGCAGACCAAGAUCAAAAUUCUGAGAUGCUUACACUCAAACAGGUGCACAGUUCAGGUCCAUACCGAUCAGGAGGCUGUAGCAAGAGUGUGUGUUCAGGCCAUAGCAGACAACAUCAAAUUCUAGCGUAACCUGAUCAGACUGUUGCAGGUGUAAGGAGAACCGGGAAGUAAACGUUUGAGGGGGAACAAGCGUGUCUCACCUCCACCUGCAGCUCCUUGGCAGUGGCGGCCUGCAGCUGGGUGGGAACGGUGCACUCCAGGGUGUUUCCAACCAC
Gambusia affinis (western mosquitofish) is the source of this 1065-nucleotide long non-coding RNA. RefSeq lists it as uncharacterized. The record is from RefSeq and is a predicted model, not a curated record. The transcript has 4 exons. Lineage: Eukaryota; Metazoa; Chordata; Actinopteri; Cyprinodontiformes; Poeciliidae.